AGGCAGGGCAUGUGAUGGACAGAGCAGAGCUGUGUGUGAGGGAGUAGCUGGGCUGCAUGGAGCUUUCUGACAAUUAUACAGUUGGGAUCCUGAACGUAGCUAUAAUUUCUGAACUUCUGUCAGGAAUCUCAGUCUAAGCCAUUUGUCCUAUGGUCAUUUCUGGAUGUACUGAGCAAUCCAUAAGGUUUCUGCAUGCAUCUCAUCUGGUGUUCUGAGAAAUAGUUGCUAGCAUGAGGCCCAGGCAAGGGUUAUUUCACAGGAUUCUGAGUUCAUUCACAAGAUUACCCAUAUGUGAUCAUAAAAUGUAUCUGGCAAGCUUUCCAGCCAUACUGUGAUCACUGUCAGUUGAAUGCUUUUAUAGUUAGCAUUUCUCCAGGAGAGUGUUCUCUGGCUCAACACCUGCUGAAGCAAAUGGAAGCAUUCACAGUGGCUGCAGUGGGAUCAAGAUCGUGUCCUUACUGAUCACUAUCUGUAGACCUAACAGACUCUGCUACCAAACUCUCUGUAAAUGAGCGCCUUUAUGGGUGUGUUGGCCCUUUGGCUCAGGAAUCAUGUGUGUUUGCCAUUAUCACUCUCUUCAGUGAUGUGAAAGCUGGUGAUUAUGUAGCUAGGAGCAAUGCUAAAGAUUUUUAAAGCAGUAUUUAAGUCUUGUCCCUUUGGCCCUUAUAGUAAAUAAGCAAUGCAAUGACAUGGGAUUGUAUGGCUGACGAGAGAAAAAGACUUGCUGUUACUGCUGGCGUAGCUGGAGUAAGUUUUCUAAAGGCUUAAGUUCAUUUUUGGCACUAUGUCAAUAUAUAAAAGGGAGAAAGUUUCCAGUGGGUGUCCAGUAUUUAACUCAUUUUCAUUUGAUGUUUAAGGUGCAUGUUCACAUUAAGUGUUCAUGAUGCCAGAGAAAAGUACCGACCUGUCUGUCCUCUAGAAAGGAGACAGAAAAGGCACUCUGGAAAGUGACUGAAUCUGAAAAGAUUUGAAUUGCUUUUCAGAGACUGUUGGUUCUCUCUCUUGUCUAAAUAAGGUUUGAAAAAAAAAAACAGUGCUCUCUUUUAACUGUCUACUAAGUGCCUAAAACUGGA
RNAcentral lists this long non-coding RNA (1073 nucleotides) under Phasianus colchicus (ring-necked pheasant). Its description in RNAcentral is "lncRNA (ENSPCLG00000006529.1)". Lineage: Eukaryota; Metazoa; Chordata; Aves; Galliformes; Phasianidae. The record is from RNAcentral.